Ceratobasidium sp. 414 is the source of this 83-nucleotide non-coding RNA. Lineage: Eukaryota; Fungi; Basidiomycota; Agaricomycetes; Cantharellales; Ceratobasidiaceae. The record is from the annotation of a GenBank genome assembly.
GGAGCGAUGGUGUAGUUGGUUAUUAUGUCUGUCUAACACAAAGUGUACACAGACAGUCCUCAGUUUGAACCUGGGUCGCUUCA